GUUGUCAAUGUUGUUAAAUAACAAUUUCUCUUUGUUUUAGACAUUCCAAUUACAGAUGCUAUCACCUUCUGGUACAAUUAUCAUUCCAAGUGGUCAAAUAACACAAGUUUUAAGGGUCACUAAUCCUAGCAAAGCAAUACUUAGGAUGCGUAUAAGACUGUCGUAUGUAUUAGAUGGUACUCCUGUACAAGAACAAACCGAGGUAAACAAUUUUCCCACGGACAUUUGGGAUUGACGGAAGCUAGGUUAAAAAGUUCAUCAUUUGCAACAUCCUACGACUAUUUUUUUUUGUCGCUGAGAGUAAUAUUCUCCUGGUAUUUGUAAAUAAUUCGUGUUCUUCAUAUCUGCAAUUUUUGAGUACUUAAUUCGUCCACUAGUUAUUUUUAAUCUUUGUUAUUGCUACGAAUAAUUUCUAUUGCUUAUGGUAAGAUGUUGGGACAUAUUAAUUUGUUUCCAUGUAUUUAUUUGUUUUCUCUUGUUUUUUUGAUAAUCAUAUUACCGGAUUCAUGAAAAAUAAUAAAGGAAUACCACAUUUAACACUGUUUUGAAAAACGGGCACGUGUUUCGCUCACUUUGAUUGUGGGCAAUAAUCGUUGAGGCAUUGAUAAAUAAUCACUGUGGAUGGAACACGUAUCCGUUCAUCAAAAAACUGUUGAGAUAUUUAAAGGUGAGUCUGUUUUAGUUAUUUACUGGAUAUAUUGCAAACUGUUUUUCCUGUUUGAUUUCAUCAAUAAUUAGAAAUUUGCAGGUGUUCCAUACAUCAAAAUUUUUUAGAACUGACGGCAUAUUUUUACUCAACUUAGUUACCGUAAUAUUGGUAUAAACGGCACUUAUUCAGAUAUUUUUGCUAGGGAACUAGUCGUAAGAAAUUAAUGAGUAUUUAAAUUGUAAGAAGAUAUCAGUAUUUUAAUACACAAAUGGUAGUUCCAACCAUUUUUCAACUA
Long non-coding RNA from Agrilus planipennis (emerald ash borer), 944 nucleotides. RefSeq lists it as uncharacterized. The transcript is spliced from 2 exons. The record is from RefSeq and is a predicted model, not a curated record. Lineage: Eukaryota; Metazoa; Arthropoda; Insecta; Coleoptera; Buprestidae.